This 497-nucleotide ribosomal RNA is filed under the name uncultured bacterium. RNAcentral's name for it is "partial 16S ribosomal RNA". It matches the Rfam family "Bacterial small subunit ribosomal RNA", at positions 28 to 507 of the family's 1533-position model. The record is from RNAcentral.
GAUGAACGCUGGCGGCGUGCCUAAUACAUGCAAGUCGAGCGAACAGACGAGGAGCUUGCUCCUCUGACGUUAGCGGCGGACGGGUGAGUAACACGUGGAUAACCUACCUAUAAGACUGGGAUAACUUCGGGAAACCGGAGCUAAUACCGGAUAAUAUAUUGAACCGCAUGGUUCAAUAGUGAAAGACGGUUUUGCUGUCACUUAUAGAUGGAUCCGCACCGCAUUAGCUAGUUGGUAAGGUAACGGCUUACCAAGGCAACGAUGCGUAGCCGACCUGAGAGGGUGAUCGGCCACACUGGAACUGAGACACGGUCCAGACUCCUACGGGAGGCAGCAGUAGGGAAUCUUCUGCAAUGGGCGAAAGCUUGACGGAGCAACGCCGCGUGAGUGAUGAAGGUCUUCGGAUCGUAAAACUCUGUUAUUAGGGAAGAACAAAUGUGUAAGUAACUAUGCACGUCUUGACGGUACCUAAUCAGAAAGCCACGGCUAACUACGUG